UACGGAGGAUGCAAGCGUUAUCCGGAAUGAUUGGGCGUAAAGCGUCCGCAGGUGGUGUUGUAAGUCUGUUGUUAAAGCGUGUGGCUUAACCGCAUAAGGGCGAUGGAAACUACAAGACUAGAGUGCGUUAGGGGUAGAGGGAAUUCCUGGUGUAGCGGUGAAAUGCGUAGAGAUCAGGAAGAACACCAGUGGCGAAAUCGCUCUACUAUGCCGCAACUGACACUGAGGGACGAAAGCUAGGUGAGCGAAUGGG
RNAcentral lists this ribosomal RNA (253 nucleotides) under uncultured bacterium. RNAcentral describes it as "partial 16S ribosomal RNA". It matches the Rfam family "Bacterial small subunit ribosomal RNA", at positions 524 to 776 of the family's 1533-position model. The record is from RNAcentral.